This is a long non-coding RNA of Phyllostomus discolor (pale spear-nosed bat), 200 nucleotides long. RefSeq lists it as uncharacterized. The record is from RefSeq and is a predicted model, not a curated record. The transcript has 3 exons. Lineage: Eukaryota; Metazoa; Chordata; Mammalia; Chiroptera; Phyllostomidae.
UACUACAAGGCUACAGUAAUCAAAACAAUAUGGUGCUGGCAUAAAAACAGCUACAUGGAUUCAUGGAACAGAAUACAGAGCCCAGGAAUAAACUCAUGCCUCUGUGGUCAAUGAAUCUAUCACAAAGGAGGCAAGACUAUACAAUGGGGUAAAGACUGUGUCUUCAAUGAAUGAUGUUGGCAAAAAGCCAGACAGAGACA